ACGACCUGUAUCCAAGUCAGGAAUUUGCACAGGUGCUGCAUGGCUGUCGUCAGCUCGUGCCGUGAGGUGUUAGGUUAAGUCCUGCAACGAGCGCAACCCUCGUCGCUAGUUAAUUUCUCUAGCGGUACUGCCCGUAUAACGCGGAGGAAGGUGGGGAUGACGUCAAGUCAGGCAUGGCCCUUACAUCCUGGGCUACACACACGCUACAAUGGGUGAUACAACAGGUAGCAAUAGAGCGAUCUGGAGCCAAUCCAAAAAUCAUCCUCAGUUCGGAUUGCAGGCUGGCAACUGCCUGCAUGAAGUUGGAGUUGCUAGUAAACGCAGGUCAGCACACUGCGUUGAAUACGUUCUCGGGCCUU
This 359-nucleotide ribosomal RNA is filed under the name uncultured Chloroflexota bacterium. RNAcentral's name for it is "bacterial SSU rRNA". It matches the Rfam family "Bacterial small subunit ribosomal RNA", at positions 1011 to 1382 of the family's 1533-position model. The record is from RNAcentral. Lineage: Bacteria; Bacillati; Chloroflexota.